Molecule: ribosomal RNA, 204 nt
Filed under: uncultured bacterium
Lineage: Bacteria
Description: partial 16S ribosomal RNA
Rfam family: Bacterial small subunit ribosomal RNA
Source: RNAcentral
ACGCUCGACACCUACGGGAGGCAGCAGUUGGGAAUAUUGGACAAUGGAGGAAACUCUGAUCCAGUGACGCCGCGUGAAGGAAGAAGGUCUUCGGAUUGUAAACUUAUUUUGUCAGGGAAGAAAAAAAUGACUGUACCUGAAGAAAAAGCACCGGCUAACUACGUGCCGGCAGCCGCGGUAAUCUGAGGCCGGGCUGGACAAGGC